GAGUGUGAGGGAGAUCUGAUUGUGAAAUCUGUCACCCCAUUGACCUCUAGGGUUGACUCAGCUGAUCUGGCUUCUUAGGCUAUCAUUCCCUUCCUCCCUCACUGCUCCAUGUGUAUUUCCAUCCCCAUCUCAAAGCUACUCACUCAGUUGAAGAGGAUGAACAUCUCCACUAGAGGAGGACCAUUCUUCAGUAUAGGGUUUAUGAGCCACACGCACCCCUGCUAGAACUUCCCAACAAGCCCUCUCAAGAUAUCUGACUGCUCCAAGACCACCAUGCUGGAGAGGUCAUGGGAAGGGCUCAGGUUGACUGUUCCA
Unclassified non-coding RNA from Carlito syrichta (Philippine tarsier), 315 nucleotides. Its record names the gene 7SK. It matches the Rfam family "7SK RNA". Rfam says of the family: 7SK was discovered as an abundant small nuclear RNA in the mid-70s but a possible function has only recently been suggested. Two independent studies have found that 7SK RNA binds the CDK9/cyclin T complex (known as elongation factor P-TEFb). P-TEFb activates transcription by phosphorylating the C-terminal domain of RNA polymerase II. NCBI's taxonomy places the organism in Eukaryota, Metazoa, Chordata, Mammalia, Primates, Tarsiidae. The record is from Ensembl.